RNAcentral lists this transfer RNA (73 nucleotides) under Bacteriophage sp. Its description in RNAcentral is "tRNA-Ile". It matches the Rfam family "tRNA". Rfam says of the family: Transfer RNA (tRNA) molecules are approximately 80 nucleotides in length. Their secondary structure includes four short double-helical elements and three loops (D, anti-codon, and T loops). The record is from RNAcentral.
UGUCCCAUCAGCUAAUCGGUUAGGCUGCAUCUCUGAUAAGGAUGUAAUCUCAGUUCAAAUCUGAGUGGGACAA